GAUGAACGCUGGCGGCGUGCCUAAUACAUGCAAGUCGAGCGAACAGAUGAGGAGCUUGCUCCUCUGACGUUAGCGGCGGACGGGUGAGUAACACGUGGAUAACCUACCUAUAAGACUGGGAUAACUUCGGGAAACCGGAGCUAAUACCGGAUAAUAUAUUGAACCGCAUGGUUCAAUAGUGAAAGACGGUUUUGCUGUCACUUAUAGAUGGAUCCGCGCCGCAUUAGCUAGUUGGUAAGGUAACGGCUUACCAAGGCAACGAUGCGUAGCCGACCUGAGAGGGUGAUCGGCCACCCUGGAACUGAGACACGCUCCAGACUCCUACGGGAGGCAGCAGUAGGGAAUCUUCCGCAAUGGGCGAAAGCCUGACGGAGCAACGCCGCGUGAGUGAUGAAGGUCUUCGGAUCGUAAAACUCUGUUAUUAGGGAAGAACAAAUGUGUAAGUAACUAUGCACGUCUUGACGGUACCUAAUCAGAAAGCCACGGCUAACUACGUG
Molecule: ribosomal RNA, 497 nt
Filed under: uncultured bacterium
Lineage: Bacteria
Description: partial 16S ribosomal RNA
Rfam family: Bacterial small subunit ribosomal RNA
Source: RNAcentral